ACAGGAGAGGUCAGGCCGGGGGCUGACCUUGGCUCACAGGGCUGGGCAGGAGGUGACUGAAGGAAAUGGGGUCAAAAACAUAGGCCGAAGGUGGUACACUGGCAAGGACUGGACUUGGGAAGGCCCAGCGGAAGGUCACAGAGAGGUCAGCCAGGUGGGAGCAGCGGUGACCUGGACUUGUCUCCCAGAGGAGGGGCCUAGGGUCAUGUGCAGCAAAUGGACUUCAUCUGGAGGAUUCUGCAAUUCUCUUGCAGGAAUUUGAGCUGGUUGCAUAAAGUGGGAAUAGACUCUAAACGUGAUAUAGAGGAAAUGCAGCUGAGAAGUAAUCAACCUAAUAGAACAGGAUAUGACAUAGACCUCGUCUGGAGCUGGACAUGAAUGAAUUCCACCUGAUUAAAGCAGAAUGCCAACCCCAAAGGGAGAGAAAAUAAGAAAAAAGUGGCCAAUUACUCAGCAGAAAAGAUUAAAGGUGUUAAACUGCUUUCCAAAUUCAGGAGUGUUUUGUAAAAGUAAAGGAUCACUCAUCUUGUUCUCUGUAUUGAUUAAAAAGAGAGAGAGAGAGAUGGUUGGUAAAGAGAGUUUGCCCCCUUGAUUGGACAGUGAAUGGUAGAGAGAGUGAACCUUCCAGAUCCCGUAGGCAUUGAGCUGGUACAGUGAUACGGUAUGACUUGGAGGAGUCGGAUAGGAGGGUGAACCAUAUUGGCGCUUACCAGCAACCUUCCUCAGGAUUUUGACUUAGAGUGUUGUGUUGGAGCAAGGAUACUUCGGGGACCUCUGCUAUGUGUCAGUAGGGAAGUGAUGGGAGGUUGACUCUGAGAGCCUCUUUCCAGACCUGGGAGUCCAGUACCCUGUGAAGUGGAAAGCCCCUCAUCACCUACCUCCUGAACUCUGCAUGGUAAAUCGGGAGAGUUGCAAGGAAGAAAA
Manis javanica (Malayan pangolin) is the source of this 924-nucleotide long non-coding RNA. RefSeq lists it as uncharacterized. NCBI's taxonomy places the organism in Eukaryota, Metazoa, Chordata, Mammalia, Pholidota, Manidae. The record is from RefSeq and is a predicted model, not a curated record.